CUAAGUCCGGGCAGCCGAAGAGUGUGGUAGGUAACGGUCGUCAGCGCAAGGGUCAUUUCGUCGCUGGGAAGGGACGGCCCUCGCCCGCGGUGAUGGUGGUUAGCAAGAUGAACAAAGAUGCGCAGAUGAGAGCAGCGAUUAACCAAAAGUUGAUAGAAACUGGAGAAAGAGAACGCCUCAAAGAGUUGCUGAGAGCUAAAUUAAUUGAAUGUGGCUGGAAGGAUCAGUUGAAGGCACACUGUAAAGAGGUAAUUAAAGAAAAAGGACUAGAACACGUUACUGUUGAUGACUUGGUGGCUGAAAUCACUCCAAAAGGCAGAGGUAAGGAAUACAGAGUGUGUUAAAGGAAACAUGCUGCAGACAUGAUUUUUUAAAAAUCUCUUGCUGAUUCAGAUUUUCUUUCUGUUUUUAAGGAAAAGCACUACCUGUGUUGCCUCUUGUAAAGAGUUAAAAUUGCCUACCUGCCUCCUAGCAUAGUCUGGGAGUAACAAAUGAGAUACUAGGUUUUAGUGUUCUUGUACUCUAGAACAGUGCACCAAUGCAAGUUGAUACAGUUGUUCAAGCAA
RNAcentral lists this small RNA (566 nucleotides) under Pongo abelii (Sumatran orangutan). RNAcentral's name for it is "retained intron". The record is from RNAcentral. Lineage: Eukaryota; Metazoa; Chordata; Mammalia; Primates; Hominidae.